AGAAAGAGAGUACUGUUUCCAACCACCAAAACGAAGAAUCAGCUAACCGGAGAAAAUGUAGCUCCCUGCAGGUAAGGGGACUGGGAUUUUUGGUCACUGCUGUUUGAUAUUAUGAAUUAUUAAUCUCUGUUUCUGAGAUUGCAUCAGCUUAUUAUAGUUAUGAGUUAAGUUAUUUUCUUUUAUUGUAGGGUGAAAGAAUGGAGAUCUAAAAAGGAGCGGAAGACGGCGGCGGAGAUUGACGGUGGUGGUGGCGGAGGGGAGAAAGAGAGAAAGAGAGAGAGGAAUGAGGGAAGAGAAGCGAAUAUUGGGUUUUUUAGGUGUCGCUUAAAAGGGAAAACGUUAGGAGAAAAGCUCUUCCUUGCUGUUAACACCAUCUCAUCUCAUCUCAUCUCAUCUCAUCUCAUCUCAUCUCAUCUAUCAAUCACCACCAAAAAUAAACAGUAAACAGUAGUAGUAGUAGUAUCAAGUAUGCAUCCAUGUUUUUCUGUAUAAGUUGGGUUAUGAGUUGUAAUUAAUGAUUCGUGCAUAUCAAAUACCAACUAUGUUUUUUCUGAAAUUCAUGUGAAUUCUUUUACUCCCCCACCCCUAUGGCGAAU
This 596-nucleotide long non-coding RNA is filed under the name Linum usitatissimum (flax). RNAcentral's name for it is "long non-coding RNA (LUSI_LNC006660)". The record is from RNAcentral. Lineage: Eukaryota; Viridiplantae; Streptophyta; Magnoliopsida; Malpighiales; Linaceae.